CCUCGGGCGGCAGCAGUGGGGAAUAUUGGACAAUGGGCGAAAGCCUGAUCCAGCCAUGCCGCGUGUGUGAAGAAGGCCUUCGGGUUGUAAAGCACUUUCAGUGGGGAAGAAAGCCUUGGGGCUAAUACCCUCGAGGAAGGACAUCACCCACAGAAGAAGCACCGGCUAACUCCGUGCCAGCAGCCGCGGUAAUACGGAGGGUGCGAGCGUUAAUCGGAAUUACUGGGCGUAAAGCGCGCGUAGGCGGUCUGAUAAGCCGGUUGUGAAAGCCCCGGGCUCAACCUGGGAACGGCAUCCGGAACUGUCAGGCUAGAGUGCAGGAGAGGAAGGUAGAAUUCCCGGUGUAGCGGUGAAAUGCGUAGAGAUCGGGAGGAAUACCAGUGGCGAAGGCGGCCUUCUGGACUGACACUGACGCUGAGGUGCGAAAGCGUGGGUAGCAAACAGGAUUAGAUACCCGAGUAGUC
RNAcentral lists this ribosomal RNA (464 nucleotides) under Vreelandella stevensii. RNAcentral describes it as "partial 16S ribosomal RNA". It matches the Rfam family "Bacterial small subunit ribosomal RNA", at positions 339 to 795 of the family's 1533-position model. Lineage: Bacteria; Pseudomonadati; Pseudomonadota; Gammaproteobacteria; Oceanospirillales; Halomonadaceae. The record is from RNAcentral.